Molecule: ribosomal RNA, 467 nt
Filed under: uncultured bacterium
Lineage: Bacteria
Description: partial 16S ribosomal RNA
Rfam family: Bacterial small subunit ribosomal RNA
Source: RNAcentral
GACGAACGCUGGCGGCGUGCUUAACACAUGCAAGUCGAACGGAAAGGCCCUGCUUUUGUGGGGUGCUCGAGUGGCGAACGGGUGAGUAACACGUGAGUAACCUGCCCUUGACCUUGGGAUAACUUCAGGAAACUGGGGCUAAUACCGGAUAGGAGCUCCUGCUGCAUGGUGGGGGUUGGAAAGUUUCGGCGGUUGGGGAUGGACUCGCGGCUUAUCAGCUUGUUGGUGGGGUAGUGGCUUACCAAGGCUUUGACGGGUAGCCGGCCUGAGAGGGUGACCGGCCACAUUGGGACUGAGAUACGGCCCAGACUCCUACGGGAGGCAGCAGUGGGGAAUAUUGCACAAUGGGCGGAAGCCUGAUGCAGCAACGCCGCGUGCGGGAUGACGGCCUUCGGGUUGUAAACCGCUUUCGCCUGUGACGAAGCGUGAGUGACGGUAAUGGGUAAAGAAGCGCCGGCUAACUACGU